RNAcentral lists this ribosomal RNA (94 nucleotides) under Paratlanticus ussuriensis. RNAcentral's name for it is "partial 26S ribosomal RNA". Lineage: Eukaryota; Metazoa; Arthropoda; Insecta; Orthoptera; Tettigoniidae. The record is from RNAcentral.
CUGGAAAUACAAACCAAACACGACCUCAGAGCAGGCGAGACUACCCGCUGAAUUUAACCUAUCAAACACCGCGGAAGAAAAAAAAAGUGGGGAG